UACAAUCUCCUCUUGUCUAUGGUGUUUUUCUGCAAUAGUUCCCUACGCAAUCAUUAUAGUAGAAUAAAGGAAAUAAUCUAGGGAUAGUGAUUCAAUAAAUAACAGGUGCCCUGUCUAGAGCGUACGCGUCCUUGAGCCACGCACCUGCAUGAUGACCGCAUACCGAGAGACUAUUGUUUCAGGUUGACCUUGUCUAGAGGAGCAUUAGUGGAAAAAAAACUGUGUAGCCCUGAGACAAUAGGAUGCCGACACGACCAAUGAGGCUGGCCUGCAGGGGGCGCAAGGAUUCACUUCUCUCUUGGACACUGACGGGUGUAGACACGGUAAUUAUGAUCCUGGCGUUGGCCGUCAGUGGAAGAGCGUAGCUUAGGUGGGGUUCUGUCUGCCUCUGAUGGGGUGUGGAUGUAUGGUUCGUCACUGGUGAAUGGUGUUCGACGAUGCAGGUGGAUUUUGUGACGAGCGGAUUUACAAUGAGGGAAUGCUGUGAACGGGAAAAAUGAUGGUGAGUGCCUUUUUCACUCUGUUCAAGUGUUCGUUUUCCUCUGUUGCCCAACAGUCGUGCGAAUUUGUCCUGACGUGUCCUGACAUGCCCCGAUAUGCAUGCUUUCCUUUGUUAACGCUUUGUAUUUUGUCUUUUUUUUGACAAGGAACAUUGUCGUCUUGACGAUAGUGCUGCCCUGAGUUCUGCGCGCGUUGAUUUGUUGAGUGCCUAGUCCUCUUAUUAGCCGUUGAUGGAGUUACAUGUUAGGAUGUUUUGUUCUUUUGCAAGUCUCAUUUAGUAAGACUUUGGAAUUCCUACGAUCAGUUUUCAUGCAUGGUGCUCUUCUGCAAUAGUUUCCUAUGCAAUGGUUAUAGAAGAAUAAAGGAAAUAAUCUUGGGAUAGUGAUUCAAUAAAUAAUAGGUCCCCUGCUAGAGCGCACGCGUCCUUGAGCCACGCAGGUGCAUGAUGACGUCAUACCGUGGCUUCACUGCAGAUUGACCAAAGGAGCAUUAGUGGAAAAAAAAACAGUGUAGCCCUGAGACAAUAGGAUGAUGUCUGGACCAAUGAGAACUGCCAGCAGGGGGCGCAGGAAUGCUCUUCUCACUUAGCCUCACGACCAAUGAGAACGGCCAGCAGGGGGCGCAGGAAUGCUCUUCUCUCUUAGCCUCUCGCAGGUGGCGGUAGGAGCGCGCAGAGGGCGCUACGAGCGCGCGCAUGCGUAGCACCCGUAGAGUGGCGCUUACGUCAGUCCACCUCUGGCUCUCGUUGGGAGAAGACGUGCGGUCGUUCGCUCCGUCGUCACUUGAUCCCUGGCUGUCGACGAGAGCAGUCGCAUCGGUCUGCGCUCCUACUGUGAGCUGUCCUAACUUGCCCAGACAUGCCGUGAUGACGUCACAGCUGACGUCACAGGAUGUCCGGAACUGGUGGUCAUAGCUGCGAUGCUUUGCAACCUGCUUCUGUGCUCCGUCACCCAGCGACGGUCAGCGGCCUUUCCGGACCGCUUUCUUCAAGAUGGCGCCGUUGAUCUUCAAUUAAACUCCUUCUCUCCACUCUA
Long non-coding RNA from Ornithodoros turicata, 1535 nucleotides. RefSeq lists it as uncharacterized. The transcript has 2 exons. The record is from RefSeq and is a predicted model, not a curated record. NCBI's taxonomy places the organism in Eukaryota, Metazoa, Arthropoda, Arachnida, Ixodida, Argasidae.